RNAcentral lists this small nucleolar RNA (134 nucleotides) under Echinops telfairi (small Madagascar hedgehog). RNAcentral describes it as "Small nucleolar RNA SNORA5 (ENSETEG00000022235.1)". It matches the Rfam family "Small nucleolar RNA SNORA5". From Rfam's summary of the family: ACA5 is a member of the H/ACA class of snoRNA that guide the sites of modification of uridines to pseudouridines. Lineage: Eukaryota; Metazoa; Chordata; Mammalia; Afrosoricida; Tenrecidae. The record is from RNAcentral.
UGCAGCUGUGUCAAAUUCAGUGCCUGCCCCACCCAUGGCUGGCACUGGCCCAAAAGGCUGCCACAGAGACACGGUAACUCAUGGGCCCUGUUCCUCUCUGCUGAGCCUCAGGGAUAAAUUUGUUACAGACAUUG